Molecule: transfer-messenger RNA, 361 nt
Filed under: Myxococcales bacterium
Lineage: Bacteria; Pseudomonadati; Myxococcota; Myxococcia; Myxococcales
Also listed under: 1 other name
Rfam family: transfer-messenger RNA
About the family: Bacterial tmRNA, also known as 10Sa RNA or SsrA, is named for its dual tRNA and mRNA-like properties. Its role is to liberate the mRNA from a stalled ribosome.
Source: RNAcentral
GGGGGCGAUUGGUUUCGACGAGGGUGUUGAAGCCCUGGUUGCAUGUCGCGGGUCCCAGUCAUCGCGUUAAAACGGCUGGAAAAACUAGACGCCAACGACGACGUCGAACUCGCUCUCGCUGCGUAAGCAGUCCUGAGAGCCGUCUGCCGGAUCUUUGUCUGCGGGAUCCUGGUGGGCGUCACUACAGCAGGCUGGUGAAGGGGAGCCGCUCGGCGCGACCCGACACGAGACUUCAGUCGAGCUCCCAGAAGGCUGCCUGCUGGUGGGCGGGCCUGACGGUAAAACAGUACAUCAGAUAAGCAUGUAGACGCCUGCGGUGGACCACUUUCGGACCCGGGUUCGACUCCCGGCGCCUCCAUUU